RNAcentral lists this ribosomal RNA (468 nucleotides) under uncultured bacterium. RNAcentral describes it as "bacterial SSU rRNA". It matches the Rfam family "Bacterial small subunit ribosomal RNA", at positions 335 to 797 of the family's 1533-position model. The record is from RNAcentral.
ACUCCUACGGGAGGCAGCAGUGGGAAUAUUGCACAAUGGGGAAAGCCCAUCGAUGCAGCCAUGCCGCGUGUGUGAAGAAGGCCUUCGGGUUGUAAAGCACUUUCAGUAGGGAGGAAGGUAGUGUAGUUAACACCUGCACUAUUUGACGUUACCUACAGAAGAAGCACCGGCUAACUCCGUGCCAGCAGCCGCGGUAAUACGGAGGGUGCGAGCGUUAUCCGGAUUUAUUGGGUUUAAAGGGUCCGUAGCGGGUUAUAAGUCAGUGGUGAAAUCCCAUCGCUUAACGAUGGAACUGCCAUUGAUACUGUUAGUCUUGAAUGAGGGUGCAGUGGUUGGAAUGUGUAGUGUAGCGUGAAAUGCAUAGAUAUUACACAGAACACCGAUUGCGAAGGCAGAUCACUAACCCUAAAUUGACGCUGAGGGACGAAAGCGUGGGGAGCGAACAGGAUUAGAUACCCUGUAGGCUCU